AUUUUACUCUAUUGGAACACUACUAAAAUAUAUCUGAAUUCUGACCAGUGGUAUUAAACAUUUCUCAGUUUAUUUUAUUGGCUCCAAAACAUACAGCUAAAUGUACUAAAGGAAGUAUUUCAAAACCACAUUUAGGAAUAAUCCAAAAAGCUAAAUCAAAAAGUAAAUUCAGUACUAUGAAAAAAACAAGUAAAAGGUGUUCUUAGCAUGUUAAAUCUAAUUAUUCUGGUUUUUAUCAGACUACUAACUAAAGUAUGUAAGUUUCAAGGCACUGACUUUUGAAAAUGCUCUGAAACUUAGGGUAUAUACUAAAACCAGAAAGUAAUGAAAAAAUAUGUAAAAUAGUGGUUUAAUUUAUGUUAUAACAGGCAUUUGAAUGUGAAAUUUUGUUUUUUUUUAUGUGAUGUUAUUUCUUCUCAUUAUUUUAUACCCAACAGCCUGAGAACUUCAGUACCAGCUGACCCUCAGGCAAGAAAGACAGUAAUUUGUAAAGUAAAACUAAUUUUUGGUGAAUCAUCCAAGGAGUUCAUUGCUUCUCAACAUUUCAAAUUAACCUUUUCAUGUCACACAUUAUUAGAAAUAAAUCCAAUUAAAUUACAUAGCUUCCGUGAAGUAAUUUCCCCUCAAGAUGCCAUUUCUAUCUCUCCAGGGAAAACAACAUUUUAAAAACCUAAAACUAAAACUAGAGAAAUUAUAAUUUUAAACUUUGUGUAAUGCAAAUAUAUGUGUCUCAUUUAACACUGUUACUUUCUCAUGUCUGUCAUGUGAAUAGCUCAUCCAAUCAAAAAUUCCCAAGAACGUGGCUUCCCACAGAUCUGAAUUCCCCACAUGAAGAAGGCACCACAGCCAUUGAGGAAGGCAAGUCAGACAGUACCAGAGCCUCACAGACCACCUGGCCUCUCUCUUGUCACACUUCCUUCAAGCUUGGAGCCAAACUAAACCUGGAAGUCUGAUCGUGCCUCUCUUCCCAUAUGGCUCACCCUGGCAUUCCUCUCAUUAAAACCGAACUUUUCUACUUGCAUAAAAUACACCCAGCUCAGGAACUCUUGUACUCUGUUGGUGGGAAUGUAAAUUGGUACAGCCAUUAUGACAACAGUAUGGAGGUUCCUCAAAAAAUUAAAAAUAGAACUACCAUCUGAUCCAGCAAUCCCACUUCUGGGAACAUGGCCAAAGGAAAUAAAAUCAGUAUCUUGAAGAGAUAUUUGCA
Molecule: long non-coding RNA, 1207 nt
Filed under: Ursus maritimus (polar bear)
Lineage: Eukaryota; Metazoa; Chordata; Mammalia; Carnivora; Ursidae
Description: lncRNA (ENSUMAG00000003412.1)
Source: RNAcentral